GAUGAACGCUGGCGGCGUGCUUAACACAUGCAAGUCGAACGAAGCACCUUAUUCUGAUUUCUUCGGAAUGAAAAAUUUGGUGACUGAGUGGCGGACGGGUGAGUAACGCGUGGGUAACCUGCCUCAUACAGGGGGAUAACAGUUAGAAAUGACUGCUAAUACCGCAUAAGACCACAGCACCGCAUGGUGCAGGGGUAAAACUCCGGUGGUAUGAGAUGGACCCGCGUCUGAUUAGGUAGUUGGUGGGGUAAUGGCCUACCAAGCCGACGAUCAGUAGCCGACCUGGGAGGGUGACCGGCCACAUUGGGGCUGAGACACGGCCCAAACUCCUACGGGAGGCAGCGGUGGGGAAUAUUGCACAAUGGGGGAAACCCUGAUGCAGCGACGCCGCGUGAGCGAUGAAGUAUUUCGGUAUGUAAAGCUCUAUCAGCAGGGAAGAAAAUGACGGUACCUGACUAAGAAGCACCGGCUAAAUACGUGCCAGCCGCCGCGGUAA
Molecule: ribosomal RNA, 496 nt
Filed under: uncultured bacterium
Lineage: Bacteria
Description: partial 16S ribosomal RNA
Rfam family: Bacterial small subunit ribosomal RNA
Source: RNAcentral